UACAGAGGGGGCAAGCGUUGUUCGGAAUUACUGGGCGUAAAGGGCGCGUAGGCGGCCUUCUAAGUCGAACGUGAAAUCCCCGGGCUCAACCUGGGAACUGCGUCCGAUACUGGCAGGCUUGAAUCCGGGAGAGGGAUGCGGAAUUCCAGGUGUAGCGGUGAAAUGCGUAGAUAUCUGGAGGAACACCGGUGGCGAAGGCGGCAUCCUGGACCGGUAUUGACGCUGAGGCGCGAAAGCCAGGGGAGCAAACGGG
RNAcentral lists this ribosomal RNA (253 nucleotides) under uncultured bacterium. RNAcentral's name for it is "partial 16S ribosomal RNA". It matches the Rfam family "Bacterial small subunit ribosomal RNA", at positions 524 to 776 of the family's 1533-position model. The record is from RNAcentral.